UAACCAGAGAACAGAGGGUGAGGAGCCAGCAGUGAGAGCAGGAGAAAUAUUUUCACAGCGUAUUGAAGUGACUCAGAUGGCUGAUGUAACUAGAUUCGAUGAUAACUUUACAAAGGUCAACCUGCUCUAGCUCUGACAGCACAUUUUCAACCUGGACUACAUUGGCCUGUGCUUGAUGGAACUGUGCAGAGGCAGAUUAACUCCGUAUGUAAACCAUGAUCAAGCUGUGUUUGAGCCAUAUCCCGGCGCUGGGGUGUUUAGGUUUCUUCCUGCUUGUCGGAGACUGAGCCCCCACCUCUGGCAGUGCUGACUUGGAUUUAGUAGCUGGAAGCAGUGGACGUUUCGUAGGAUUGGUGUCUUUGCUCGACAGCUUCCCUCGCUGAGCCGUUUUACUGGUCAGGUUCAAGGCUGAGGCAGCAGCAGAUGGCGGCUGUUCUGUUGUCAUUCGUCUUCCCUCUUUAACUGCCCCCUCACUUGGCACCUUUUUCGUCACCAUUUUGGUGGGCCCAUCUGUUGUUUUCUUAGCAAGAAUAUUGCUCUUUCCCAAGUCAGCUGACCUCCGACUCUCUUUCUGCCGCAAUGCUGACCGAAAGAACGACAGUCCUUUGUCAUCUGAUUUGCUGCUGUCCCUUCUCAAGUCAGUCCUCGAGCUAGUAUCGGAUGAUUUUGCUUCUGUCAUGGAGGAGCUGCUGCUCGAAUUCCUCAGUCUCCUGUUCUCCAAACGGCUUCCUGAUUUAGCAUGUGACAACCUGCUUGUGCUGCUAGCUUUAGAAGAUGAUGUCAGCCUACGCUUUUCAGGAGAAGGGCUGCGUUUCGAACGACCCUCAGAAGUCUUGGACCUUCCUGGCACCUUUUUGCGUGUUGGGGAAGGAGACUGUGGAGAAGGCAAAACCAGCUUUGCUUUCUGCUGAUACACUGAUAACGCUGACUCUUGACUUUUAGCUGUGUCCCUUCGAAGAACAGAGUUUGAAGAAGAAUGUCGGGCUCUCACUUUUGAUUCUGCCUUUUCACGAGUGACAGAAGCCUUCUGGGGAUU
This is a long non-coding RNA of Stegostoma tigrinum, 1036 nucleotides long. RefSeq lists it as uncharacterized. NCBI's taxonomy places the organism in Eukaryota, Metazoa, Chordata, Chondrichthyes, Orectolobiformes, Stegostomatidae. The transcript has 3 exons. The record is from RefSeq and is a predicted model, not a curated record.